GAUUGAACGCUGGCGGCAGGCCUAACACAUGCAAGUCGAGCGGCAGCGGGAAAGUAGCUUGCUACUUUUGCCGGCGAGCGGCGGACGGGUGAGUAAUGCCUGGGAAAUUGCCCAGUCGAGGGGGAUAACAGUUGGAAACGACUGCUAAUACCGCAUACGCCCUACGGGGGAAAGCAGGGGACCUUCGGGCCUUGCGCGAUUGGAUAUGCCCAGGUGGGAUUAGCUAGUUGGUGAGGUAAUGGCUCACCAAGGCGACGAUCCCUAGCUGGUCUGAGAGGAUGAUCAGCCACACUGGAACUGAGACACGGUCCAGACUCCUACGGGAGGCAGCAGUGGGGAAUAUUGCACAAUGGGGGAAACCCUGAUGCAGCCAUGCCGCGUGUGUGAAGAAGGCCUUCGGGUUGUAAAGCACUUUCAGCGAGGAGGAAAGGUCAGUAGCUAAUAUCUGCUGGCUGUGACGUUACUCGCAGAAGAAGCACCGGCUAACUCCGU
This 492-nucleotide ribosomal RNA is filed under the name Aeromonas sp. TJ-11. RNAcentral's name for it is "bacterial SSU rRNA". It matches the Rfam family "Bacterial small subunit ribosomal RNA", at positions 27 to 506 of the family's 1533-position model. The record is from RNAcentral. Lineage: Bacteria; Pseudomonadati; Pseudomonadota; Gammaproteobacteria; Aeromonadales; Aeromonadaceae.